This 512-nucleotide ribosomal RNA is filed under the name Vibrio alginolyticus. RNAcentral describes it as "bacterial SSU rRNA". It matches the Rfam family "Bacterial small subunit ribosomal RNA", at positions 67 to 572 of the family's 1533-position model. The record is from RNAcentral. Lineage: Bacteria; Pseudomonadati; Pseudomonadota; Gammaproteobacteria; Vibrionales; Vibrionaceae.
CUGAACCUUCGGGGGACGAUAACGGCGUCGAGCCGAUGACGGGUGAGUAAUGCCUAGGAAAUUGCCCUGAUGUGGGGCAUAACCAUUGGAAACGAUGGCUAAUACCGCAUAAUGCCUACGGGCCAAAGAGGGGGACCUUCGGGCCUCUCGCGUCAGGAUAUGCCUAGGUGGGAUUAGCUAGUUGGUGAGGUAAUGGCUCACCAAGGCGACGAUCCCUAGCUGGUCUGAGAGGAUGAUCAGCCACACUGGAACUGAGACACGGUCCAGACUCCUACGGGAGGCAGCAGUGGGGAAUAUUGCACAAUGGGCGCAAGCCUGAUGCAGCCAUGCCGCGUGUGUGAAGAAGGCCUUCGGGUUGUAAAGCACUUUCAGUCGUGAGGAAGGUGGUAGUGUUAAUAGCACUAUCAUUUGACGUUAGCGACAGAAGAAGCACCGGCUAACUCCGUGCCAGCAGCCGCGGUAAUACGGAGGGUGCGAGCGUUAAUCGGAAUUACUGGGCGUAAAGCGCAUGC